Siniperca chuatsi (mandarin fish) is the source of this 4348-nucleotide long non-coding RNA. RefSeq lists it as uncharacterized. The transcript has 4 exons. Lineage: Eukaryota; Metazoa; Chordata; Actinopteri; Centrarchiformes; Sinipercidae. The record is from RefSeq and is a predicted model, not a curated record.
UGCUGUUGUUGUGUUAUGUGCACUCAAAAUAACAUACGCGCCGCACGCCUGCAGUGUACCCUGACUAGUUUAACACAUAAUUUGCAGUGAUGGCUGAACAAAAGUGGAGCAUCGUCUGUAGCUAUUUCACAGCUGUGAAUGAAAACGUUGCAAACUGCAAUGUGUGCAUCAAACCCGGGUCUCACAGGUGGCAGCUGGUUUGCUAAACAAACAGCCAGUCGUGCUGAUACAGCGGAUUGUGCGCUUAAAACAGCCGCGGCCGGAAAAGACGUUCUCAGGCUGGAGAGGACGUUUUGAAAGUGCUACGGAUGAAAGCAUCGCAGCUACCACUCAUAUGUGAACAGUUACGUCUCCAUAACAACUGAGCAAGCUAAGGAAAAAGCUACACCUUUGCAGCCAGGAGCCCUGGGUGUCCAUCUUCCAGCUGGCACAACCACCACUUCCUCAGGAUGGACUCUGUGGCUGCUGUCCGGGGCUCCACACCCAGAGGAGGACUCAUGUUACUCUCGUCCACACUUCUGUAACAGCUUCAGCAGCCACAGGUGCUUUAGUACCUCAAACCAGGUGCAGAAGCAGAGGUGGAGACUCGGGACAACAGGGGGGGGAUGGAGGGCAACAGUAAGACAGAGACUGUGCCUCCUGGCCUCGGUAGGACUUUGGCCAUGUCUGGGCCUCUGCUCUCAGAUCCCCUGGAGACGCUGCACAGCCAGACGGACUCUUUCCUCACUGCAGCCCGGCUUGUCCGCGGAGGAUGGACGGAGGAGGGGAAGAAGACAGGGUGGACAUAUUCCCAUUUCGACUGCUCAGCACGUCAACCCUCUCUCUCCAGGUCAGAUGGAAAUCGGGGGCCAAAACGUGCUGAGAUUUGCCUGAAGGACCACAGGAGCGGGCAGGUUCCAGCUGUGAACAGCAGGAAGACGGCUGAGGGCGGAGAAACGGGCACUGAAAAAAAGGCAGAUGAUGCAAAGCAGACAACUGAAGGUGCAUUCUCAGCUAAGAGACAAGCAGAAAGACAGAUGGGUCUCCGCAGUCAGACAGGCAUUGUUUGUGUCUGGGCGUCCGGCUGUCGCACCACAUGCAGACAGUACAGAAGGUUUAAAGCCCCAAUAUUACCAGUCAUUGCUGAGAUGUAGGCUAGCUGCCAUUUGUUCCAGAAAGGACACAAAUUAAAAAGGAAAGGUGCAUGUAAAACACUGCUUUUUCUUGGUUACAAGAGUACUAUAAUAUAUCUAGACUUUAAUCAAGCCUAAUGUUAAAUGGAGGAUUACAUAUGUUACUGUUGGUUGGUGUUCUGACAUUAUUGGUGCAGUAGAAUCAAUAUUGAAACUAAAUUAGUUUUUUGUUGUCUGAUCACACCGCCUUUUUUAAUUUGUCAUCUAGCCAUUGCAAUCCACACUGAUCAAAAGGCUUGUCUUAACCCAGCCCAGCCCUUAUCACAGCUGAGGACUGAGUGAUGCGGUUCAACAGAAACAAAAACACACAGGAAAUGCAGACGGAAAAUAAGCCAAGUAACUAAAAAGUGACGUGGACAAAGACCCUCAAUUUAGAAACUACUUCACUGUGCAGUUUAAGGUAAGGUCCACAGUAUAUUCAGGUUAUGUUACGUGUUGUCAUGUUUUAUGUUGCCAAUGAGACUAAGAGCAGCCCAGAGAUAUUUGGAAAGGCAGUUGAGUGCCUUACAGAAAGAGCACAAUGUUCAUCCCUCUGAUAGAUUGCAGGCUGAAAUCACUUCUGUGAAAGCUGCAUUUAUAGCACUUAUGAGUAAUAAAAAAUGGCUUGUGUACCUGCCUGACUUAACUCUCAGCGCCUGUAUAACACAUGCUUCUGGCAGGAAAUUAUACAGCAAUAAAGACAUUAAUUCUACUGCUCUGACAUUCAGUGGGUUCACAACCACAGUGAUGGAUGCCUCUAUAUCAUUAAUAGUGUUUAGACGAGCUGAUUACUGCUUAUCCCAAUUUCAUUACUUUAUGUAGAUCAAAAGCUAAAAGUUUGUCCAGAAAAUUGGAGAUGGUGCUUUCGAGUAUUAAGUCGUCUGACCUAUUUUGGGCUGUAAAUCUUGUAAUAACAUUUGUCGGCUGAUCAGCAUUUUUCACUAUGGGCCACAUGCAAAGCAAAGGUUUUUAAUUAUUUCAACCAAUCAAGCUUUUGAUAGAAUAUAAAUGACUAUAUUUUGCCUUAGAAAGAAAAAAAAAAAGUGACAAUUUUACCCAAAUAAUACAAAAAAAAAAAAUAUAUAUAUAAUUCAAUAAAAAUGGUAAUGGUGCUAACAAUAACAUAACUACAGUGAAAUUAAUACAUUAUGAACAUUCACACAACCAAAUAUAGUAAAUCAAAGGAAUAAACAGCCAACUGGUGGCUCUAAUUGGACAUGGCGCUAAUAACAUCAAUCAAUUAGCUGUCAGACUGAAGGCAAAUUAAACUACAGUGGCGGACAUUAGUAAAACUCCAAGAUAUACUCAAUCUCCAACAUUGAAUUAGAUAGCAAUGCACAUGAACAAAAAGUAGAAAACGGGUGGAAAUUAAUAUUGAACAUUAAUAGUUAGCUUAACUUUACUGCUCAGCAAUGUACUCUUAGAUGUGGAGCUAAUUACAAACGAUUAGACCACAUAGAUCACGUGGGAAAAUGAUCAAAUAUUAAAAUACCGUUGUGUGACUGUCUUACCUGUGUUACGGUUUAACGAGCGACCUGGUUAAUUGGCGACUUUCAGCCAAAUGCUCUGUGAGUAAUGCUGUCGAAGUUAGAUAGCUGUUUAAAACAGGAAGAGCAAACGCAGCUGAAUGCCUCUUUGUUUAGUUUGUCAUCAUUAUGUCAAAGAAACACACCUGGUUCGUCUUUUGAGUCUUGUAUGAGGAAACGUGUCACGUGGUACAAGAACGCCCACUUUUUCUUCUUCUCUGCUUUCAUCCUUUUUGGACACAAAUCGCCAUUUUUUUUUUUUUUUGGGGGGGGGGCGCCAUCUUGUGGCCAUUUUCCACUGUAACAACUUUUCUGCAGAUGUAUUUCUCUGCAAAAGAUAAACAAACGAUUUAAAUAUUAUUUUUGUUAAUUUUCAAAACUUGACAAUUAUUGUAAUCUUAAAGAUAAUCAGUGUCAGCGUAUCAUACCUGUGGUACACACGAUGCAUCACAUUGAUCUCCUUCCUUGGCAUUGUUGUUGUGCUCCAUCGCAAAUGUAAUGUUUCAUUGUACACAACCAAUAUAUUGAACACAAUAUUAAUGAUAAAAGAUUCCUGUUAACUAGCAGGAUCAGAAGAUUAGUAAUCAAAAGCACUUAGGAAUGGUAAAUUAACACAGAAAAGAGUUCACAUUUAUAUGUUUCAAAACUAUUCAGUUUAUUUUUGUCAAGCCUGUGAAGAUAUUAAAACAAGGUACACCAGAAAGGAGUAAUAUUGUAUAUGUUUAUACUAUUUCAAUGCUACUAUAUACUAGACUUACAGAUUUAAAUGCACAAAGAGUCAACGACUAACGAUUUUCUAUUUGCUGAAAAUAUUGAAACCCAUCCAAUCUCAGAUAUAUGACAGACAGGAAGGCUGUUUGUGUAGUAUUUUGACGCACUAUACAGAUGCUCAAAUGUUGUACUUAACUGACAAUAACUGAACAUUUGUAUAUUUUAGUGUUUGUAAUACAAAUGACUUUAAUGUCAGUGACAGCAACUGGAAUUCAAUUUCUUAAACCGUCUUAAUAUAUUCAGGUUUAUAUAUAAAAAUCAGAAGAAUAGUUUCUCCUGAUGGUUGAUUUAUUACAGUAUAUAAAGGUUUAAACAACAAUGCUCUUAUAUACACUUAUAGAUUCAAACAAUGUGAAUGUUUAUAGAUUAGGUACACUUAUAUGUGAAUCAGGGAGAAUUAAUACGUUGUGUGCAGUGGUAUUACUUUUACACGUGUUUACACUCAGUAAUGUUUUCAAACUUCCAAAGACAAGAGAGCCACUUUGAUAGAGGAGAGCAGAUGGACAGCAAAUCCAAUUAAGCAACUUCUACCCAAAGUUUAAAUGACAUUAAAAGUGUCUGCUACAGGGUCACCAGCAGUGAUGCCGGGUGAGGGAGAGAGAAAGAAAGAGAGAUUUUCAGUUCACGUCAGAAAAGCAACUUCACAGCUCAUUUUGGACUAUUUAUUUCCUUUAUUAUCAAAGUCUCAUUCAAGUUACAGAAUUUUCCAGGAAGUUAAAAUGUCUUAAAUAAAUGAAUUUAAGUUGCUUAAGAAACUUAGUUCUGUGAUAAUACUGACUUUGGUGUCAACAAGGCAAAAUUGUAUCCCUUCAAUGUCUUAUCUUACAGCCUUUUAGGACUUGAGGAUAUGCAAUAGUCUUUACAGCACAGUACAUAAAAUAAAGCAUCGCCUAGUGUAAA